GGCAUGGUGGCUUAGUGGCUUAGUGGUUAGCACUGUUGCCUCGCACGUCGAGGGUUCAAAUCCCACCUCCGCCC
Pangasianodon gigas (Mekong giant catfish) is the source of this 74-nucleotide non-coding RNA. The record is from the annotation of a GenBank genome assembly. Lineage: Eukaryota; Metazoa; Chordata; Actinopteri; Siluriformes; Pangasiidae.